This 504-nucleotide ribosomal RNA is filed under the name uncultured bacterium. Its description in RNAcentral is "partial 16S ribosomal RNA". It matches the Rfam family "Bacterial small subunit ribosomal RNA", at positions 30 to 523 of the family's 1533-position model. The record is from RNAcentral.
AUUGAACGCUGGCGGCAGGCCUAACACAUGCAAGUCGAACGGUAGCACAGAGAGCUUGCUCUCGGGUGGCGAGUGGCGGACGGGUGAGUAAUGUCUGGGAAACUGCCCGAUGGAGGGGGAUAACUACUGGAAACGGUAGCUAAUACCGCAUAACGUCGCAAGACCAAAGUGGGGGACCUUCGGGCCUCACACCAUCGGAUGUGCCCAGAUGGGAUUAGCUAGUAGGUGGGGUAAUGGCUCACCUAGGCGACGAUCCCUAGCUGGUCUGAGAGGAUGACCAGCCACACUGGAACUGGGACACGGUCCAGACUCCUACGGGAGGCAGCAGUGGGGAAUAUUGCACAAUGGGCGCAAGCCUGAUGCAGCCAUGCCGCGUGUAUGAAGAAGGCCUUCGGGUUGUAAAGUACUUUCAGCGGGGAGGAAGGCGGUGAAGUUAAUAGCUUCACCGAUUGACGUUACCCGCAGAAGAAGCACCGGCUAACUCCGUGCCAGCCGCCGCAGUAA